RNAcentral lists this ribosomal RNA (242 nucleotides) under uncultured Anoxybacillus sp. RNAcentral describes it as "partial 16S ribosomal RNA". It matches the Rfam family "Bacterial small subunit ribosomal RNA", at positions 1143 to 1382 of the family's 1533-position model. Lineage: Bacteria; Bacillati; Bacillota; Bacilli; Caryophanales; Anoxybacillaceae. The record is from RNAcentral.
AAGGGACGAGUCGGCGGCAAAGUCGGAGGAAGGUGGGGAUGACGUCAAAUCAUCAUGCCCCUUAUGACCUGGGCUACACACGUGCUACAAUGGGCGGUACAAAGGGUCGCGAACCCGCGAGGGGGAGCCAAUCCCAAAAAGCCGCUCUCAGUUCGGAUUGCAGGCUGCAACUCGCCUGCAUGAAGCCGGAAUCGCUAGUAAUCGCGGAUCAGCAUGCCGCGGUGAAUACGUUCCCGGGCCUU